GUGAACGCUGGCGGCGUGCCUAACACGUGCAAGUCGAACGAUGAUAGGAAGCUUGCUUCCUUGAUUAGUGGCGCACGGGUGAGUAUACCAUAGAUAAUGCACCUCUUAGUUCGGGAUAGCCACUGGAAACGGUGAUUAAUACCGGAUACUCCUUCUCAUUAUAAGAUGAGUCGGGAAAGUUUUUUCGCUAAGAGAUCAGUCUAUGUCCUAUCAGCUAGUUGGUGAGGUAAUGGCUCACCAAGGCUAUGACGGGUAUCUGGUUUGAGAGGAUGAUCCGCCACACUGGUACUGAGACACGGACCAGACUCCUACGGGAGGCAGCAGUGAGGAAUAUUGCACAAUGGGGGGAACCCUGAUGCAGCAACGCCGCGUGGAGGAUGACGCAUUUCGGUGUGUAAACUCCUUUUAUAUGUCAAGAAAAUGACGGUAGCAUAUGAAUAAGCACCGGCUAACUCCGU
This 458-nucleotide ribosomal RNA is filed under the name uncultured bacterium. RNAcentral's name for it is "bacterial SSU rRNA". It matches the Rfam family "Bacterial small subunit ribosomal RNA", at positions 29 to 506 of the family's 1533-position model. The record is from RNAcentral.